Long non-coding RNA from Neofelis nebulosa (Clouded leopard), 333 nucleotides. RefSeq lists it as uncharacterized. The record is from RefSeq and is a predicted model, not a curated record. NCBI's taxonomy places the organism in Eukaryota, Metazoa, Chordata, Mammalia, Carnivora, Felidae. The transcript has 3 exons.
UGAUCCCGUGUGGGUGCUACAUGAAUGCCAUGUUCCUUUGCAAAUAGGCAUUUCAUCCAUCUUUGAAAGUAUAUUUCUUUGGGAGUCCAUGGUCUCCUUCUUACUAGAUUUCUCUCAUCAAUGACCAUAACGAAGCAUUUCUAAUAAAUUUGGUCCCUGCCCUACGGACUGUGAUCUCAAUCUCUUAAAAGAAGACCGUGAAUUACACAAGAAGAGAGAAAGCCUGAUAAAUUACUCAGUGAAGGAAAAAUCAGCUGCUUGGAGAACUGGAGAACUUGAGGAUUAUUCAGAGGAUGUAUCUUACUUGGAGGAACUGGAGAAACACAGAUUUUC